UACGUAGGGUGCGAGCGUUGUCCGGAAUUAUUGGGCGUAAAGAGCUCGUAGGCGGUUUGUCGCGUCGGCCGUGAAAUCUCCACGCUUAACGUGGAGCGUGCGGUCGAUACGGGCAGACUUGAGUUCGGCAGGGGAGACUGGAAUUCCUGGUGUAGCGGUGAAAUGCGCAGAUAUCAGGAGGAACACCGGUGGCGAAGGCGGGUCUCUGGGCCGAUACUGACACUGAGGGACGAAAGCUAGGGGAGCGAAUGGG
RNAcentral lists this ribosomal RNA (253 nucleotides) under uncultured bacterium. RNAcentral's name for it is "partial 16S ribosomal RNA". It matches the Rfam family "Bacterial small subunit ribosomal RNA", at positions 524 to 776 of the family's 1533-position model. The record is from RNAcentral.